UAUACAAGGCAGGACUCUGAUCAUGGUCU
Molecule: non-coding RNA, 29 nt
Filed under: Mus musculus (house mouse)
Lineage: Eukaryota; Metazoa; Chordata; Mammalia; Rodentia; Muridae
Source: RNAcentral